UCACUUCACCUUUGGACCAAAGAAACUGCCUUUGAAUUGACUACAGAUUGUUUAUCCCCUUGAAACUCCAGCAGCCGCAGGACAGAACCUAGCAAGUUUGCCAGGCUCUAAACUUCACAUCAAUAUGCAUCUGGCUUGGCUGUGCCUGAUCUCAUAUAGGACAGACAACUGGGACCUAAGGAAAGCUGCUACUGUACAGUAA
Molecule: long non-coding RNA, 202 nt
Filed under: Anas platyrhynchos platyrhynchos (common mallard)
Lineage: Eukaryota; Metazoa; Chordata; Aves; Anseriformes; Anatidae
Description: lncRNA (ENSAPLG00000018314.1)
Source: RNAcentral